This 198-nucleotide ribosomal RNA is filed under the name uncultured bacterium. RNAcentral describes it as "partial 16S ribosomal RNA". It matches the Rfam family "Bacterial small subunit ribosomal RNA", at positions 326 to 539 of the family's 1533-position model. The record is from RNAcentral.
ACGCUCGACACCUACGGGGCAGCAGUGGGGAAUAUUGCACAAUGGGGGAAACCCUGAUGCAGCGACGCCGCGUGAGGGAAGAAGGUUUUCGGAUUGUAAACCUCUGUCCUUGGUGAAGAAAGCAGACGGUAGCCAAGGAGGAAGCCACGGCUAACUACGUGCCAGCAGCCGCGGUAAUCUGAGGCGGGCUGGCAAGGC